GCACGCGCGAGCUUCGAGACGGCAGUACGCAUGCGCGAAUUUCGAGACAUUAGUACGCAUGCGCGAGCUUUGAGACGGCAGUACGCAUGCGCGACAUUAUGGACUGCAGUACGCAUGCGCGGGUCUCGGUACGGCAGUACGUAUGCACGAGCCGCGAGCCGGUAGUACGCAUGCGCGAUACUAUGGUCGGCAGUACGCAUGCACGAACUUCGAGACGGCAAUACGCAUGCGCGAGGCGCGAGACGGUAGUACGCAUGCGCGAGACCAUAGACGUUAUUACGCAUGCGCGGCAUUAUAGACGGCAAUACGCAUGCGCGACAUUAUGGACAGCAGUACGCAUGUGCGAGCAUCGAAACGGCAGUACACAUGCGCGACAUUAUGGAAGGCAGUACGCAUGCGCAGGUCUCGAUACGGCAGUACGCAUGCGCGAGCCGCGAGCCGGUAGUACGCAUGCGCGACACCAUGGACGUCAGUACGCAUGCACGAACUUCGAGACGGCAGUACGCAUGCGCGAGACCAUAGACGGUAUUACGCAUGCGCGUCAUUAUAGACGGCAGUACGCAUGCGCGACAUUAUGGAAGGCAGUACGCAUGCGCGAGCUGCUUACCGGCAGUACGCAUGCGCGAGAUUCGAGACGGCAGUACGCAUGCGCGACAUUAUGGAGGGCAGUACGCAUGCGCGACAUGACAGACAACAUUACGCAUGCGCUACAUUAUGGACGGCAGUACGCAUGCGCGACAUUAUGGACGGCAGUACGCAUGCGCGACAUCAUAGACGGCAGUACGCAUGCGCGAGUCGACUCCGGCAAUACGCAUGCGCGAGCUUCGGGACGGCAGUACGCAUGCGCAAAUCUCGACUCGGCAGUACGCAUGCGCGAUCGCUGGGACGGUAGUACGCAUGCGCGACAUCGUAGACGGCAGUACGCACGCACGGGACUAUAGACGGCAGUGCACAUGCGCGGGCUUCGAGACGGUAGUACGCAUGCGCGACAUUAUGGACGGCAGUACGCAUGCGCGAGCCGCAUGACGGCAAUACGCAUGCGCGGCAUUAUAGACGGCAGUACGCAUGCCCGUGUCGCGAGACGGCAGUACGCAUGCGCGACAUUAUAGACCGCAGUAUACACGCGCGGCAUUAUAGACGUCAGUACGCAUGCGCGAGCUUCGGGACGGCAGUACGCAUGCGCGAGUUGCAAAAUGGCAGUACGCAUGCGCGACAGUAUAGACUGCAGUACGCGUGCGCGACAUUAUGGACGGCAAUAGGCAUGCGCGUCAUUAUGGACGGCAGUACGCAUUAGCGAGCGUUGAGACUGUAGUACGCAUGCGCGUCAUUAGAGACGGCAAUACGCAUGCGCGAGAUUCGAGACGGUAGUACGCAUGCGCGGCAUUAUGGACGGCAGUACGCAUGCGCAAACUUCGAGACGGCAGUACGCAUGUGCGACAUUAUGGACAGCGGUAUGCAUGCGCGAGCCGCGUGACGGAACAGUACGCAUGCGCGAGCCGCGAGACGGCAGUACGCAUGCGCGAUAUUAUGGAGGACAGUACGCAUGCGUGACAUCAUAGACGGCAGUACGCAAGCGCGUGUCUCGAGACAGUAGUAUGCAUGCGCGAGAUUCUAGACGGUAGUACGCAUGUGCGAGCCGGAGCCGGCAGUACGCAUGCCCGACAUUAUAGAUGGUAGUACGCAUGCGCGACAUUAUGUACGGCAAUGCGCAUGCACGAGCGGCGAGACGGCACUACACAUGCGCGAGGUUCGAGACGGCAGUACGCAUGCGCGAUCCACCAGCCGGCAGUACGCAUGCGCCGGUCUCGACACGGCAGUACGCAUGCGCGAGGUCCAUAACGGCAUUAAGCAGGCGCGAUCCCCGAUACCGUACUACGCAUGCGCAAACCGCGGAAGGGCAGCACGCAUGUAGUAAGAGCGGAAGUGCUGUACGCAUGCGCGACGUCCGAAAAUGCAGUACGCAUCCACGAGCCUUGGAACGGCAUUACUCAUGCGCAAGCCCCGAGACGGCAGUACGCAUUCGCGGGAUUCGAGAGGGCAGUACGCAUGCGCGUGCCGCGAGACUAUGGUACUAAUACGUGCUAUUGUAAUAUGUAGUACUACUAUGCAGUACUAUUACGUACUAUACAUACAUAAUAGGUAAUAGGGAGCAUAUCCGUAUGCAAUAGGAGCAUACGCCCGACAACUUAAAAAGAGCAACUCUUUCUCUAACAGCGGCGC
This 2220-nucleotide long non-coding RNA is filed under the name Gallus gallus (chicken). The record is from RNAcentral. Lineage: Eukaryota; Metazoa; Chordata; Aves; Galliformes; Phasianidae.